GAGAGCAGGCAGCAGUCUCUUGUGCAGACUCAGUGGUGGGCCAGAGUCCCUUUGUCGUAAAUUAAGAAAAUGCUGUUACAGAAAAGUUUCUAAACAUUUUAUUUUGAAACAAGACUGCAGAAGGAACAAAACCAAACCCCAAAACUGAGGUAGGUGGGUGGAGAAUCUCUCCUAAAUUUUAAAUACAGAACUCUUAUUGAGGGGGGAGUAGGAGGUUGUGAAUAAUUUAUUGACUUAGUUUUUAAAGAUUUUAUGUAUUUGAGAGAGAGAGAGCGAGCGAGUGCAGGGGGUGGGGGGGCAGAAGGAGAGAGAGAAUAUCCAGCAGACUCCUGCCUGAGUGCAGAGCCCGACGUGGGGCUCAAUCUCAAGACCCCAAGAUCACAGCUUGAGCCGAAACCAAGAGUCAGGCACCCAACCGACUGAGCCACCCGGGAGCCCCUGGCUUAUUUUUAAUAGUAGCCUCGUCUGUUUAGUGCUGGUCUAAGUAGAUGCAUUUGGGCAUGAGUACCCUUUCCUAGUGCUUUUUUCUCUUUCUUUGGGACUCACUGUGGUUUUGUGGGAAGAGAGAGGGCCAUGUUUUUGGAUAAUCCGGAGUUGUUAAUCCCAACUCCCUCCCGAGCUGUGCGACCUGGUUACUUAACCUCCCAGGACUGUGUUGUGGUCCUCCCUGGCCCGCUGGAAGUGACAGUGAGCACCUUGCCGGCUUCUGGUCAGAAUGAAGAUACCUGGCUCAGGCGCGCGACUGCUGUUCCGUCCAUGAGGCUCUACUCGGGAGCAGAGAGAUUCCCUGGAUGUGGCGCUUUCGCCUCCAGUGGAGGGACGCAGGCCAGGGAGUGGGUGAGGGCCUCACCCUGAGUGGCGGGAGUCACAUAGUCUCAGCCUUUUGGGACGGUGCAUUUGGAUCGGGAGUCACAGGCGAGAUCUGAUUCAGUAGAUGGUAGGUUAGGAGGCUCUCUGUGUAGACCCUGGAUCUCCAUGCAGGGGUGAGAUUGGGGCGAGGGGUCCCGUGAGCCCUUUGUGCGCUGCCCCCCCGUUCUUCAGUGGAUGGACUGCACGGGAGGAACCUCUCAUUUCUCGGGCCCGGAUCUCUCAGGCCGUGCCCACGGUCCCUGCUCCGACAUGGAGGUCGGUGACGUCACUUCGGUGAAGGCUCAUCGAGAUUUCCUGCUGCUUCGAGCUCAGCCGGCACUUCACCAGGGAGACCCGGGGCCCUGCUGCCUGGUGACCGACUCCCUGUGAUUUUGGGUAGCCGUCCCCAGGCUCGGAGGCACUGGGGAAGCUGCCUCAGUUUCUGGUCUUAGACUUCUUAGGGCUGAGUCGCAGCGGCAGGAGUUGUUGCGAUGAAUUGUGCGGACUUUGUGUUGAGUCCCAAGUGAAGCAGCAGUGACUGCAGCUGGAACAGUAACUGGGCUCCCGGGAGGUGUCGUGGAACCACGUGGCGCUGACGCCGUGGUCUGUCGCAAGGGGCUGCGAGCCCAGCGGGACGUCGGGGUGACACUUGGGCACUUGGAUGGGUCAUCUGAAUUCUGCUCAGCACAUUUUCCCCUGCCUGGAGGCUUUGGAGCAGGAGGCAGUGAGGUGGUGUGGUUAGUGCCUGGACUCCGGUGCUAGCCUGCCUCGGUGUGAAUCGGGCUGUGUGAUCCUCAGUAUGACAUCAACCUCUCUGGGCCUCAGCUUUCUCAUCUCUGAUGGAACAGGAUCUCUCCCGAAAGGGUUGGGGUCUUAAAUGAAUGAACAUAUGUAAAGCAGACAGUAUAGGGCCUGAGGAUUAAGGGAGGUAAAGCCCUUGGCACAAACGAAGGGCCCAAUAAAUGUGAGCUCAUGUUGUCGGACCCUUGUUCCUAUUAAUGAAGCCUGCCCUGCACUGUUCUCCCUCCGCAUCCCCAUAGCAGCCUGCGGCCAGUCCUGCUCACAGUUCUUGCCACAUGGAGGGAACCUGGCUGCUCGCCUGUGGCUCUGGGGCCUCCUGAGGGUAGGACCCCGGGUCUGGGUCCUUUCUGCUUCCACAGUAUCUAGUGCGGUGUCUAGCUGCCUGGUGGAGGUGCUUAGGAGACAGUGACCGGGUGUGACUUCGGCUGAUUCGGGUAGCUGGGAGAGCACAAGGGCUUCUCUCAUGCUGUCUAGACUUCAGAAUCGGAAGAGGGGGUGCCAUAAGGUUAUUAAGCACCUCCCGUGCACAGCAUCUUCUGUCGGCCAGAGCCUAGCCGUGGACGUGGCGGAUGGACCGCAGGUCCUCCAGAGCCUGGGCUCCAGGCGAGGAGGCAGGAUAGAACCUCUUGCAGGACCAAUAGCCGUAGAAACCUAGAGCAACAGUGAAAGCAUGAGUAGGUGAGUCAGUGCCCAGAAGGAGGCCAGGCAGGGGAAAGUGAAGGGCUGCCCUCGAGGAUUCUGGAGGGCUUCCUGGAAGAGGUGGCCGGCCUGACCUUUUGACAGAGAGGAAUGAAAAAGUUGCCCCUUAUGAUGGCUGUGCCUGGUCAGUUGCCUGGAGCUGCGUUCAAGGAUUUCCGGAACCUUAUGGAUUUACAGUGAUACUCAGCAGCCUGGGGAAUGACGGUGGAGGAAGCGUUCUCUGCAGUCAUGUGCACGCGGCACACGUUUGGAUGCUAACGGCAGUUUUAAGGAAGGCCCUGGCUGCGUACCUGGCGGAUCCCUGCAGCCUGGACGCCCGUGGGGGACGGAGGACCGCGGCUUCCUGUGACGGCUGAGUUCUCUGCCUUUAUCUCCGCAUGAGUGAUUGGUUGGGUGGCUGCCAGCCUCACCGAGGGUGCCCUGUGAAAUACUCCUGUCUUACCUCAGAUUUCGGUGCUGUCAGUCUGAAAAACAGACGUCCAUUUGGUACUCUAGAUGGACUGUCCUUCCCUGACCUAAAGCUGGGCCAUUUGGAGAUUUGGAGAACAAAGGUUGUCGGGCUGCGAUUGUAGCCGAGUCCUGAGCUCCUGUGGAGAUUUGCCUCUCUCCAGCCUUGGGCUAUCUGCAUUCUUGAACAGCUCAGGACCCAGAAGGAAAAGAAGAAUGCUGACCCGCUCUGGGGUGGCCUGAAUGAAGAGAGGUGAGAGAACUGCUCAGAAAUGUUAAGUAACGCAGCAGCAGUCACACAGCUAAGGGACACACAGGAACGUCCCAAGUGGCGAAGGUCAUUUUCCAUCACUGCCAUCCUCCACGAGCCUGUGUCUGGAAUGGGACUUGUCUUUGCUCUGAUGAACAGGUUGGAUGGAGACUGGAAAACACUAGACAGAGGUAAUAUGGACCCAGAGAGAACUGAAUCCUUGUGCCCAGUGACUAGAAGAUGCAUGAACCUGGAAAAAGGAGCCUAGAAGAUCGCUAUGCUUCCCCCACAUAGGAGAACACCCACCCCUUCCCGCCUCUUGCCCGUAACACAUGAUAUAUUUAGCAGUGAUCGAUCACUACUGAGCUAUCUUCAUUUAAUGUGGUUUUGCAGAACAGUUGGUCUGGAAAUUUUAUUUUCAAUUAAACUUCCUUGUUGAA
Long non-coding RNA from Ailuropoda melanoleuca (giant panda), 3486 nucleotides. RefSeq lists it as uncharacterized. The transcript has 7 exons. NCBI's taxonomy places the organism in Eukaryota, Metazoa, Chordata, Mammalia, Carnivora, Ursidae. The record is from RefSeq and is a predicted model, not a curated record.